GGGCGAAAGCCUGAAGCAGCAACGCCGCGUGCGCGAUGAAGGCCUUCGGGUCGUAAAGCGCUUUUGAGAGGGACGAGAUAGGACGGUACCCCUGGAAUAAGUCACGGCUAACUACGUGCCAGCAGCCGCGGUAAAACGUAGGUGGCAAGCGUUAUCCGGAUUCAUUGGGCGUAAAGCGCGCGUAGGCGGUCGUGCAAGUCGGUUGUGAAAUCCCGGGGCUCAACCCCGGGACUGCGUCCGAUACUGUGCGACUGGAGGCAGGUAGGGGAGAUCGGAAUUCCUGGUGUAGCGGUGAAAUGCGCAGAUAUCAGGAGGAACACCGGUGGCGAAGGCGGAUCUCUGGGCCUUGCCUGACGCUGAGGCGCGAAAGCUAGGGGAGCGAACAGGAUUAGAUACCCUGGUAGUCCUAGCCGUAAACGUUGGGUGCUAGGUGUGGGCGGACAUCGACCCCGUCCGUGCCGAAGCUAACGCAUUAAGCACCCCGCCUGGGGAGUACGGCCGCAAGGCUA
RNAcentral lists this ribosomal RNA (509 nucleotides) under uncultured bacterium. RNAcentral's name for it is "bacterial SSU rRNA". It matches the Rfam family "Bacterial small subunit ribosomal RNA", at positions 373 to 896 of the family's 1533-position model. The record is from RNAcentral.